CCGCGACCCCAGGUCAGGCGGGAUUACCCGCUGAGUUUA
Molecule: ribosomal RNA, 39 nt
Filed under: Odontites bocconei
Lineage: Eukaryota; Viridiplantae; Streptophyta; Magnoliopsida; Lamiales; Orobanchaceae
Description: partial 28S ribosomal RNA
Source: RNAcentral